UGCACCGUCCCUCCGGGUCGGAGCAGUGAGGGCAGCGAUAAAGGGCUGCCUGUUGCGUCUCCCUUGACUCCAGCCCUAGGAGAAGAAGGGCUGAGUGGGGCCACCGUGGCCUUGCGGCCACCUUCUAAACAGCACCCCCCCCCCCCGUGGUUGAGACGAGGGGAUCCGUGUGGCAGAUGCAGACCAGAGGCUGCCACCGGAAUGAGUCCUGGUCUAGUUGCAAGAAACCAUCUGGGUUUCUUUAAAAGACACCAGUGAAAAAUGUGUGACAUCAUGAAUUUAUGUGUUGGAGCCACUAGAUGGCAACCCUUCCUCAUUGCAAUGAUUUGAAAAACUAAAUCUCAUCAGAUCUGGGAACCUAAGCAGGGUCGGCCAUGGUCAGUAUUUGAAACGGAGACCACCAAGGAAGUCCAGGGCUGUGGCGCAGAAGCAGGCAAAGGCAAACCACCUCUGAACCUCUCUUGCCUUGGAAACCCCUCGAGGGGUCACCAUAAGUCGGCUGGGAUAUGAUGUUAUUGAAUGUGGAAUAACGUUUUAAAUGUUUGUUUAUAAUAUUUUUAUUGUUUUAAACUGUAUGUUAUAAAUUGUAUGUUGUUACACCGCCCUGAGCCCGUCCGAUGGGGAGGGCGGUCUAGAAAUGUAAUAAAUAAAUAAAUAUGAUUGAAAGGCCUCCAAAACAUCCUAUCA
Eublepharis macularius is the source of this 687-nucleotide long non-coding RNA. RefSeq lists it as uncharacterized. Lineage: Eukaryota; Metazoa; Chordata; Lepidosauria; Squamata; Eublepharidae. The transcript is spliced from 3 exons. The record is from RefSeq and is a predicted model, not a curated record.